This 207-nucleotide long non-coding RNA is filed under the name Salvia miltiorrhiza (redroot sage). RNAcentral's name for it is "long non-coding RNA (SMIL_LNC000245)". The record is from RNAcentral. Lineage: Eukaryota; Viridiplantae; Streptophyta; Magnoliopsida; Lamiales; Lamiaceae.
UACUGUCCAGCCUGCGGCGGAUUCGGCGCGUACAUCCCUGGUUCCUGCUGUCUCCACCUAAAAUUAGGGUGAUUUCUCCACCCUGGAUUGUAGGUGUUGGAAAAGGGGUCGUUUCGCCUUGGCCUUUGUGCGUUCAUCUCUUGCUCAUCGGCGGAUCCCAUGCACGCUUGCUCAGUAUUAUUAUCCUGCAAAGAUGGACAUGCAUCA